GCACACGAACGCACAAAACGAAGAGUUUCCAGCUACCUUUAUCUUUAUACAAUUUCUGCAAGUAUAUAUAUAUAUAUCGCCUUUUCUUCUGCACAGAAGAAAGAUUGAUUUCACUUAAUUCUCGCUCGAAAAGUCCUUUCCUUUGUAGUUGUACUUCUAGCUAAGAGCUUAAACAGUUCGGUUUGAUUAAUCUUUACAAUCUCAUUAACAAGUGGCUUCGAUUUACAUAAUUAGAAUAGCAUUUGCUUAGAACUACAAUUGGAGAGGCUUCGAAUUGUCCGAUUUCUUCUUCUUUUCAAUUUACUUUGACAGUUCAAAACUUCGCAACAAGGAAGCUUAUAGAGAACUUCAAUUCGCAUACAGUAUUCUAUCUUUUCUGCCUUGUACUAAACCGAUGUCUGUCCAGAAAAUCUUUUGCUUGGGGUUACUCUUCAAUCGUUAGAGAACGUUUGAAUAAAAUACAACUGUUCUCAAAAAUUUCG
This is a non-coding RNA of Paramuricea clavata, 482 nucleotides long. NCBI's taxonomy places the organism in Eukaryota, Metazoa, Cnidaria, Anthozoa, Malacalcyonacea, Plexauridae. The record is from the annotation of a GenBank genome assembly.